GGCGGCAUAGCUCAGUUGGUCAGAGCGUCCGGUUCAUACCCGGUAGGUCGUAGGUUCGAAUCCCACUGCCGCUACCA
This 77-nucleotide transfer RNA is filed under the name Clostridiaceae bacterium. RNAcentral describes it as "tRNA-Met". It matches the Rfam family "tRNA". Rfam says of the family: Transfer RNA (tRNA) molecules are approximately 80 nucleotides in length. The record is from RNAcentral. Lineage: Bacteria; Bacillati; Bacillota; Clostridia; Eubacteriales; Clostridiaceae.